GACGAACGCUGGCGGCGUGCUUAACACAUGCAAGUCGAACGGAAAGGCCCUGCUUUUGUGGGGUGCUCGAGUGGCGAACGGGUGAGUAACACGUGAGUAACCUGCCCUUGACUUUGGGAUAACUUCAGGAAACUGGGGCUAAUACCGGAUAGGAGCUCCUGCUGCAUGGUGGGGGUUGGAAAGUUUCGGCGGUUGGGGAUGGACUCGCGGCUUAUCAGCUUGUUGGUGGGGUAGUGGCUUACCAAGGCUUUGACGGGUAGCCGGCCUGAGAGGGUGACCGGCCACAUUGGGACUGAGAUACGGCCCAGACUCCUACGGGAGGCAGCAGUGGGGAAUAUUGCACAAUGGGCGGAAGCCUGAUGCAGCAACGCCGCGUGCGGGAUGACGGCCUUCGGGUUGUAAACCGCCUUCGCCUGUGACGAAGCGUGAGUGACGGUAAUGGGUAAAGAAGCACCGGCUAACUACGUGCCAGCAGCCGCGGUGAUACGUAGGGUGCGAGCGUUGUCCGGAUUUAUUGGGCGUAAAGGGCUCGUAGGUGGUUGAUCGCGUCGGAAGUGUAAUCUUGGGGCUUAACCCUGAGCGUGCUUUCGAUACGGGUUGACUUGAGGAAGGUAGGGGAGAAUGGAAUUCCUGGUGGAGCGGUGGAAUGCGCAGAUAUCAGGAGGAACACCAGUGGCGAAGGCGGUUCUCUGGGCCUUUCCUGACGCUGAGGAGCGAAAGCGUGGGGAGCGAACAGGCUUAGAUACCCUGGUAGUCCACGCUGUAAACGGUGGGUACUAGGUGUGGGGUCCACUCCACGGGUUCCGUGCCGUAGCUAACGCUUUAAGUACCCCGCCUGGGGAGUACGGCCGCAAGGCUAAAACUCAAAGGAAUUGACGGGGCCCCGCACAAGCGGCGGAGCAUGCGGAUUAAUUCGAUGCAACGCGUAGAACCUUACCUGGGUUUGACAUGGAUCGGGAGCGCUCAGAGAUGGGUGUGCCUCUUUUGGGGUCGGUUCACAGGUGGUGCAUGGCUGUCGUCAGCUCGUGUCGUGAGAUGUUGGGUUAAGUCCCGCAACGAGCGCAACCCUUGUUCACUGUUGCCAGCACGUUAUGGUGGGGACUCAGUGGAGACCGCCGGGGUCAACUCGGAGGAAGGUGGGGAUGACGUCAAGUCAUCAUGCCCCUUAUGUCCAGGGCUUCACGCAUGCUACAAUGGCUGGUACAGAGAGUGGCGAGCCUGUGAGGGUGAGCGAAUCUCGGAAAGCCGGUCUCAGUUCGGAUUGGGGUCUGCAACUCGACCUCAUGAAGUCGGAGUCGCUAGUAAUCGCAGAUCAGCAACGCUGCGGUGAAUACGUUCCCGGGGCU
RNAcentral lists this ribosomal RNA (1346 nucleotides) under uncultured bacterium. Its description in RNAcentral is "bacterial SSU rRNA". It matches the Rfam family "Bacterial small subunit ribosomal RNA", at positions 28 to 1381 of the family's 1533-position model. The record is from RNAcentral.